GUCAACUUUAGGUCCUCUGCAACCUCUGCCAUUGUCUUUCUGGAAUAUGACCUGGACUCUUCCAUUUCCAUGAACUUUGAAAAUGCUGACAUAAGCCUGACUGGGAAGGCAGUUUACACACCGAUCUGACCAUGGACAUUCAACACAUUAUUUCCCAUACCCUGAGUGACUCUCACCUCACCCUGAUUGUGGACAUGAUCAGCCCUGCCUUCACUGACAUGAACUUGCGUUAUGCCGUCCGCAAAGAUGGAAUCAGUA
Cyclopterus lumpus (lumpfish) is the source of this 258-nucleotide long non-coding RNA. RefSeq lists it as uncharacterized. The transcript is spliced from 3 exons. Lineage: Eukaryota; Metazoa; Chordata; Actinopteri; Perciformes; Cyclopteridae. The record is from RefSeq and is a predicted model, not a curated record.